UAGGGAAUCUUCCGCAAUGGGCGAAAGCCUGACGGAGCAACGCCGCGUGAGUGAUGAAGGUCUUCGGAUCGUAAAACUCUGUUAUUAGGGAAGAACAAAUGUGUAAGUAACUAUGCACGUCUUGACGGUACCUAAUCAGAAAGCCACGGCUAACUACGUGCCAGCAGCCGCGGUAAUACGUAGGUGGCAAGCGUUAUCGGGAAUUAUUGGGCGUAAAGCGCGCGUAGGCGGUUUUUUAAGUCUGAUGUGAAAGCCCACGGCUCAACCGUGGAGGGUCAUUGGAAACUGGAAAACUGGAGUGCAGAAGAGGAAAGUGGAAUUCCAUGUGUAGCGGUGAAAUGCGCAGAGAUAUGGAGGAACACCAGUGGCGAAGGCGACUUUCUGGUCUGUAACUGACGCUGAUGUGAGAAAGCGUGGGGAUCAAACAGG
This 429-nucleotide ribosomal RNA is filed under the name Actinomycetes bacterium. Its description in RNAcentral is "Actinobacteria bacterium partial 16S ribosomal RNA". It matches the Rfam family "Bacterial small subunit ribosomal RNA", at positions 355 to 776 of the family's 1533-position model. Lineage: Bacteria; Bacillati; Actinomycetota; Actinomycetes. The record is from RNAcentral.